AAAACUUUCAACAACGGAUCUCUUGGCUCUGGCAUCGAUGAAGAACGCAGCGAAAUGCGAUAAGUAAUGUGAAUUGCAGAAUUCAGUGAAUCAUCGAAUCUUUGAACGCACAUUGCGCCCGCCAGUAUUCUGGCGGGCAUGCCUGUCCGAGCGUCAUUUCAACCCUCAAGCCCCCGCGGGCUUGGUGUUGGGGGCCGGCCCCGCGCCGCCCCCGAAAUGCAGUGGCGACCUCGCCGCAGCCUCCCCUGCGUAGUAGCACAACCUCGCACCGGAGCGCGGAGACGGUCACGCCGUAAAACGCCCAACUUUUUACAGAGUUGACCUCGGAUCAGGUAGGAAUACCCGCUGAACUUAAGCAUAUCAAUAAGCGGAGGAAAAGAAACCAACAGGGAUUGCCCCAGUAACGGCGAGUGAAGCGGCAACAGCUCAAAUUUGAAAUCUGGCCCCCAGGGCCCGAGUUGUAAUUUGCAGAGGAUGCUUUUGGCGCGGUGCCUUCCGAGUUCCCUGGAACGGGACGCCAUAGAGGGUGAGAGCCCCGUCUGGUCGGACACCAAGCCAGUGUAAAGCUCCUUCGACGAGUCGAGUAGUUUGGGAAUGCUGCUCUAAAUGGGAGGUAUAUGUCUUCUAAAGCUAAAUACCGGCCAGAGACCGAUAGCGCACAAGUAGAGUGAUCGAAAGAUGAAAAGCACUUUGAAAAGAGGGUUAAACAGUACGUGAAAUUGUUGAAAGGGAAGCGUUUGUGACCAGACUUGGGCCCGGUGAAUCAUCCAGCGUUCUCGCUGGUGCACUUUGCCGGGCUCAGGCCAGCAUCAGUUCGCCGCGGGGGAUAAAAGCUUCGGGAACGUGGCUCCCUCGGGAGUGUUAUAGCCCGUUGCACAAUACCCUGCGGCGGACUGAGGUUCGCGCUCCGCAAGGAUGCUGGCGUAAUGGUCAUCAGCGACCCGUCUUGAAACACGGACCAAGGAGUCGUCUUCGUAUGCGAGUGUUCGGGUGUCAAACCCCUACGCGUAAUGAAAGUGAACGCAGGUGAGAGCUUCGGCGCAUCAUCGACCGAUCCUGAUGUUCUCGGAUGGAUUUGAGUAAGAGCAUACGGGGCCGGACCCGAAAGAAGGUGAACUAUGCCUGUAUAGGGUGAAGCCAGAGGAAACUCUGGUGGAGGCUCGCAGCGGUUCUGACGUGCAAAUCGAUCGUCAAAUAUGGGCAUGGG
RNAcentral lists this ribosomal RNA (1207 nucleotides) under Tolypocladium sp. INBio_4515H. RNAcentral's name for it is "eukaryotic LSU rRNA". The stretch from base 319 to 1207 matches the Rfam family "Eukaryotic large subunit ribosomal RNA", at positions 1 to 921 of the family's 3401-position model. The record is from RNAcentral. Lineage: Eukaryota; Fungi; Ascomycota; Sordariomycetes; Hypocreales; Ophiocordycipitaceae.